RNAcentral lists this long non-coding RNA (1221 nucleotides) under Vulpes vulpes (red fox). RNAcentral's name for it is "lncRNA (ENSVVUG00000000201.1)". The record is from RNAcentral. Lineage: Eukaryota; Metazoa; Chordata; Mammalia; Carnivora; Canidae.
AAAUAUACAUAGGCUUACAUUCUGUACUUCUUCAGUCCUCAGUCUGAAAAAAAAAAAACCUAACAGAUAAUGCUUUUGAAACUCAAUUAUAUCAUGAUGAAUAAAGGGACUUACCACUAAACACGACUGUAGCAUUAAUUUUUAGAAAUGUUAAAUAUACUUUUUAGAAAUGGAUUUUCCUGAUUUGGGUCACUUCCCUUUGACCUGAAGGAAUAUUUGCAAUACAUCUCAACUUUUCCUCUCUAUCUGAAUAAAAGCUUCUCUACCCUUCCUGUACUCUUCUCUGUCUGUAGAGCUGGCUGAAAGGGUUCUUUUUGCCAAUCUACUCCACAGGAGCCCUGUGAGAAUUUAUGGCUUCUUUGUGGUCAAGAGCAGAUUUCUGGUAUCUGAGUAACUCAGGCAGAAGCACAUGCUCUGUCUCCCUUUUUAUUUGGUGGGGCAAAGCGGAGUAUUUAAAUUUUCAGAUCAGUUACCUUAAUCCUUUUCUAUGUUAGCCCUAAAAACUAGUCUGUGGUUGUUGCUUGAGAGUGACGGUGUGUGAAUGUUUCAGUUGCUGCCAGGUGAGACUCAAUCUCAUCUCAUUCUUUCAGGACCUCAGGGGAUCUUUUGCUACAUUGCUCAAAUCCCCUCUCAGUUCCCCUACAUUUGUUAAACUGAGGCCCAGAGAUUACACUUAAGCCUAGCAGUGCAUGCUGCUCUAAUGCUGAUCAUUAACUGCCUGUCCAGAUGGUCCCUGCUCUCACUGACAGAUAGUAAGUCUAAAUUGUUCAUCUCCAGUGUUUCUUGUAGACUGCCCAAUAUGUUUACUGUGGUCCAAUUACAGGAGGGUGACAUUAAGCAGAUCUGAUGCUAACAUUCUGGCACUAGUCCUGAUGAGCCAAGUGGCAGAUCUGGGGAGGAAUGUGGAGGAUGCAGCAAAUGAGUGCUGUGGAUCUAAUUACAGAAGCACACAGAUGUCAUCACAAAUACAGCUUUAAGGCCCAGGAUGUAAGUUCAGGGUUUGAAGCCCAGACCUCCGUUGAGAAGGAAAGAAGGAGUAUCAGAUUAAAUCUUUUUGUGUGUAGAAGCUCCCAAAGUAAGUUUUGGUUUGAACUGUGUUUCCCCACAGUAAACUGUAGUUUCAAUGUGUUUGAGAAAACUAACAUAUUUUAUUUUUCCUUGCCAUUUCUUUCUUUCUUUCUUUUCUUGUUUUCUUUUAUUUACAAAAGAAGUCACUUUCUG